GACGUUAGCGACAGAAGAAAGCACCGGCUAACUCCGUGCCAGCAGCCGCGGUAAUACGGAGGGUGCGAGCGUUAAUCGGAAUUACUGGGCGUAAAGCGCAUGCAGGUGGUUUGUUAAGUCAGAUGUGAAAGACCCGGGGCGUCAACCUACGGAAUAGCAUUUGUAAACUAGGCAGACUAGAGUACUGUAGAGGGGGGUAGGAAUUUCAGGUGUAGCGGUGAAAUGCGUAGAGAUCUGAAGGAAUACCGGUGGCGAAGGCGGCCCCCUCGGACAGAUACUGACACUCAGAUGCGAAAGCGUGGGGAGCAAACAGGAUUAGAUACCCUGGUAG
This 331-nucleotide ribosomal RNA is filed under the name uncultured bacterium. Its description in RNAcentral is "bacterial SSU rRNA". It matches the Rfam family "Bacterial small subunit ribosomal RNA", at positions 471 to 793 of the family's 1533-position model. The record is from RNAcentral.